GUACAAAUAGUAACGGAGGAUUCAGCUAUAGGAUUGGGAUCGUGAUUCUAAAUGGCUCGAGCAGGGAAGGAAAACCUGCUAGGAGCCUUGCCCUUUCGACAGACCCCAGCCAAGGUGGGGCAGAAGGAGAGCGCCCCCCGUGUCUCAAGUUCCUUGAGCAGCAGUAAAAUUCCGGUGCUCUUCAAAAGCCGAGUCCCACCAGAGUUGAAGCAAUCACAGCAGCAGAGUCCACUUCAGCAGGUAUGCCCAUCCAGCCCGAACUCCAAAGCAGUCGAGGAUCCCAAGAUGCCUCCAACGGUUUCAGCUUUGGGUGCUGCAGUUUUGAAACCAGCGGCUGGGUUAUUGCCCAAGAGCCUUUCCAGAGAACCUCUGGGGGAGGUGCAGCUGAGCACAUCUGGUCAGAGGAAUGAUAGCAACACAUCUGUUGGCAAAGAACCAAGCGCAGUUGAGUUUGUGCCGGAUGUGGCAGCUCUUGCCAGCAUACUGUCCAACACUGGGCUGACUCACCACAUGCUGAGCACGACACAGAAGCCCAGCCUGGCCCGCCGAGUCCCUCUGAGAGGGAGGAGAUUGUGCUCCGCCAGCAUUGGGACUGCCCGAGGUGCUCCAGCAGCAAAUCUAGCUUGUAUGUCUCACAUUGCCAGAUCAACAUUGAAAGAUGCAGAUCACCCACAGUCUUAUAGCCUCACUUUGAACACCCAGGAGCUCAAGGCACUUUCAACUACAUUCAAGAAUUUUGACUCUCAGCAUCGGCUGGAGGCGACGAAGCCCAGCCAGUCAACCGAGAAUCUGGGAGUGGGCAAGUGUCCAGAUUCGGGAGCCAGGCCCAACGCAGAGUGUUCAAGCAGCGUUACCACAACUGGCGUUCCAUUGCAAAGCAACUUGACUGAGAAAAAGGACACUGCAGGAUCAUCUUGGAAAGAGGAGGAGUUUGUACCAGAUCCGGCUGCCAAAGCAAGCAUCUUCUCCAAUGUAGGCCUCAGCCAUUUUGCCUUUGGAGCCAACGGGAAACUGAGCUUGGCCCAGCGGGUGCCAAUGAAAGAUGUUCGGAAGAAUCCUCUCACUAGUGGCGGCACCAAGGGUGAAAAUGCGUUUUCCUGUGGACCAUGUGCAAGAGUAUCCUCAACAGGAAAAUUUGGUCGUGUGUCCUGUUAUUCCACACAGGGCUGUAAAGGACUGGAAAAGUCACAGUCUUCAGGAACCGAACUAACAAACACACCCGGCAACAGAUGUUUAGUUGUUGACUGUUCACCCUAUGGGCUGGCUAGGAGGAUUCCCGUUGCCGGCACACAAUCCUUGCGGCGCAGCCCCUGGACAUACGGCCGUGUGCCUACUUCUUCUUGCCCAAAGCUGAGGAGGGGGGCUGCCCAGCAUCUAACAGAAACACAGCAGGUUAUGUCAGAGGCCAGCGUCACCCCACAGAUAACCUCCCCUGGUGCCAAAGAGGAGGGCACUCCCUCGUCCUGGGAAAAGGUGGCUGUGCGGCUCUUUGAUGAAGAGGUGGCUGCAUCGGUGAGGAGAGUGCCAGCUGUUCCUGUGAUCACCCCAGAAAUGGGAAAGCUCCAGCGUAUUGAGCUCCUUGCCGAGCUCUUGCAGCAGGAGGUGAACAGCGGCAUGGGCCCUGAUGUUGCCCCUUCACUGGAGAAAUUGCACAAACUCUUGUCUGCUCGCUCCUCGCCUGCUUUGGAGGCUCCCCAGCCCGGCCUCCCCUGCACACCUCUGCAGGAUCCUAGAUCCGAUGCCUGCAAGCCGACACCCGGAUCUGCUCCGACGGCCCCACCUGAACCUGGCACAACGCUCACUGGCCAGCACCCUGUCUGUCCCAAUCCCUCUGUGCGUUUGGUCCAGCUCCCUUCAUCUAAUACAGACCAGAUGAAGCACCGGCUCAGUGAGGUCCUCCGCGCCCCUCAGCACUUCUUGGAGGCCUGCCUGAAUGACGAGUGCGCUUUCUAUACUGCCCGCGUCCCUUCCGCCACCCAGCCAUCCAUACAGCGAUGUAAGGAGCCUGUGGCAAAAAUGCUGGAUGCCCUCGAUACUGUGCACUUUAUACCCAUCUCAUCACAUCAGUCUCGGUUGGUGGAAGAGGAGAGGUCUUUGUCUUCCUGAAGGUCGUGUAAGACCUAGAGGCAGUGCAUUCUUGUUCCUCAUGAACAAUGUAUUGGUGGAUUAAAUCCACCUGCAACAAUUGCUACCCUCGGAUCUUACCAUCCUCAGAUUUCACUGGGACCCUGAAUACCUGCAGGCUUGGCAGAGAGAGCCAGGAACUGAAAUCCAUUCUUGUAUUUGAAAGCUUCAGGUGCCUGGCAGGGGAAAAAAUAGAUGAUGCCCGUGAAAACAGAAGGCUGGCCUUGGGGAAAGGAAGCUUGUUAAAAUACAAGGCCCCUUACUAUUAACUGUUUGUAAACACGCAUUUAUUUUUUUUUUAAAGGAUAAUUAAAUAAUUUAAAUUAAAACAUCCUCACGUGCCUGGAAAUGAUUAUUUGCUUGCAACUGGUUUCCAAGGACAAAAAGUUUCUUUGCAAAGCCACAAUUUUCCUAAUUUUGUUACAGGUAUGCUGUCUGCAAAUGCCUUUGAUAGCUUCUGAAAGAAGUGAGUCUCGAUUACAGUUUCUGGCUCUAGGUGGAGCGUUAUAGCUAAGCAAUAAAAGAAGGUGUGAAGCCA
Molecule: long non-coding RNA, 2662 nt
Filed under: Pogona vitticeps (central bearded dragon)
Lineage: Eukaryota; Metazoa; Chordata; Lepidosauria; Squamata; Agamidae
Description: lncRNA (ENSPVIG00000017634.1)
Source: RNAcentral